Molecule: ribosomal RNA, 909 nt
Filed under: Roseibacillus sp.
Lineage: Bacteria; Pseudomonadati; Verrucomicrobiota; Verrucomicrobiia; Verrucomicrobiales; Verrucomicrobiaceae
Description: bacterial SSU rRNA
Rfam family: Bacterial small subunit ribosomal RNA
Source: RNAcentral
CGGAGAGUUUGAUUCUGGCUCAGAACGAACGCUGGCGGCGUGGAUAAGACAUGCAAGUCGAACGAGAUCUUCAGCUAGCUUGCUAGCAGAAGUGAAAGUGGCGGACGGGUGCGUAACACGUGAGCAACCUACCCUGGAGUGGGGGACAACUCUCCGAAAGGAGGGCUAAUACCGCAUGUAGAUCUUCGGAUCAAAGGUGGCUUCGGCUGCCGCUCCUGGAUGGGCUCGCGGCCUAUCAGCUUGUUGGUGAGGUAACGGCUCACCAAGGCUAUGACGGGUAGCUGGUCUGAGAGGACGAUCAGCCUCACUGGAACUGAGACACGGUCCAGACACCUACGGGUGGCAGCAGUCGAGAAUCAUUCACAAUGGGCGAAAGCCUGAUGGUGCAACGCCGCGUGGAGGAUGACGGCCCUAGGGUUGUAAACUCCUGUCAUCUGGGAGUAAUCCUUGUUCGUUAAUAGCGUGCAAGGUUGAUAGUACCAGAAGAGGAAGCGCCGGCUAACUCCGUGCCAGCAGCCGCGGUAAUACGGAGGGCGCAAGCGUUGUUCGGAAUCACUGGGCGUAAAGCGUGCGUAGGCGGCGCAGUAAGUCAGAUGUGAAAUCUCUGGGCUCAACCCGGAAACUGCAUCCGAUACUGCUGCGCUAGAGUAAUGGAGGGGUAGCUGGAAUUCUCGGUGUAGCAGUGAAAUGCGUAGAUAUCGAGAGGAACACUCGUGGCGAAGGCGAGCUACUGGACAUUUACUGACGCUGAGGCACGAAGGCCAGGGUAGCGAAAGGGAUUAGAUACCCCUGUAGUCCUGGCAGUAAACGGUGCGCGCUUGGUGUGGGAGGACUCGACCCCUUCCGUGCCGGAGCUAACGCGUUAAACGCGCCGCCUGGGAAGUACGGCCGCAAGGCUAAAACUCAAAG